Non-coding RNA from Phthorimaea operculella (potato tuberworm), 67 nucleotides. The record is from the annotation of a GenBank genome assembly. Lineage: Eukaryota; Metazoa; Arthropoda; Insecta; Lepidoptera; Gelechiidae.
GCGCCCGUAGCUCAGUCGGUAGAGCGGUGGAACGGUGAUCCACAGGGUUCAAGUCCCGGCGGUCGCU